Molecule: small nucleolar RNA, 132 nt
Organism: Perognathus longimembris pacificus (Pacific pocket mouse)
Lineage: Eukaryota; Metazoa; Chordata; Mammalia; Rodentia; Heteromyidae
Product: small nucleolar RNA SNORA40
Exons: 1
Source: RefSeq, a predicted model, not a curated record
AGCACUUGUAUAUUUUACUUAAUUUGUGGACAGUGACUUACAAACAGCUGCAAAAGUAAAAACCAGCCCUCUUUUGCCAGCCAGAACUCACUGUUCAGUGUGAGCUUGGGUACAAGUAAGAACUAGGGUAAG